RNAcentral lists this ribosomal RNA (459 nucleotides) under uncultured bacterium. Its description in RNAcentral is "partial 16S ribosomal RNA". It matches the Rfam family "Bacterial small subunit ribosomal RNA", at positions 338 to 795 of the family's 1533-position model. The record is from RNAcentral.
CCUACGGGUGGCAGCAGUGAGGAAUAUUGGUCAAUGGCCAUAAGCCUGAACCAGCCAAGUCGCGUGAGGGAUGACGGUCCUACGGAUUGUAAACCUCUUUUGUCAGGGAAUAAAGUGCGGGUCGUGACCCGUUUUGUGUGUACCUGAUGAAUAAGGAUCGGCUAACUCCGUGCCAGCAGCCGCGGUAAUACGGAGGAUCCGAGCGUUAUCCGGUUUUAUUGGGUUUAAAGGGUGCGCAGGCGGCGGUUAAAGUCAGCGGUAAAAUCUUGGGGCUCAACCAAGAAUCGCCGUUGAAACUGGGAGGCUUGAGUACGUGUGGGGUAGGCGGAAUGCGUGGUGUAGCGGUGAAAUGCUUAGAUAUCACGCAGAACCCCGAUUGCGAAGGCAGCCUGCCAAGGCGUAACUGACGCUGAUGCACGAAAGCGUGGGGAUCGAACAGGAUUAGAUACCCCAGUAGUC